GACGAACGCUGGCGGCGUGCUUAACACAUGCAAGUCGAACGGUGAAGCGCCUUCCUUUUUGGUGGGUGUGGAUGAGUGGCGAACGGGUGAGUAACACGUGAGUAACCUGCCCCCUUCUUCUGGAUAACCGCAUGAAAGUGUGGCUAAUACGGGAUAUUCUGGGUCUGUCGCAUGAUGGGUCUGGGAAAGAUAUUGUUUCGGUGGGGGAUGGGCUCGCGGCCUAUCAGCUUGUUGGUGGGGUGAUGGCCUACCAAGGCGGUGACGGGUAGCCGGCCUGAGAGGGUGGACGGUCACACUGGGGCUGCGACACGGCCCAGACUCCUACGGGAGGCAGCAGUGGGGAAUAUUGCACAAUGGGCGCAAGCCUGAUGCAGCGACGCCGCGUGAGGGAUGGAGGCCUUCGGGUUGUGAACCUCUUUCGCCAGUGAAGCAGGCCUGCCUCGUUUGUGGGUGGGUUGACGGUAGCUGGAUAAGAAGCGCCGGCUAACUACG
RNAcentral lists this ribosomal RNA (492 nucleotides) under uncultured bacterium. RNAcentral describes it as "partial 16S ribosomal RNA". It matches the Rfam family "Bacterial small subunit ribosomal RNA", at positions 28 to 505 of the family's 1533-position model. The record is from RNAcentral.